CGCCAGACUCCUACGGGAGGCAGCAGUGGGGAAUAUUGCACAAUGGGGGAAACCCUGAUGCAGCGACGCCGCGUGAGUGAAGAAGUAUUUCGGUAUGUAAAGCUCUAUCAGCAGGGAAGAAAAUGACGGUACCUGACUAAGAAGCCCCGGCUAACUACGUGCCAGCAGCCGCGGUAAUACGUAGGGGGCAAGCGUUAUCCGGAUUUACUGGGUGUAAAGGGAGCGUAGACGGCUGUGCAAGCCAGAUGUGAAAGCCCGGGGCUCAACCCCGGGACUGCAUUUGGAACUGUGUAGCUGGAGUGUCGGAGAGGCAGGCGGAAUUCCUAGUGUAGCGGUGAAAUGCGUAGAUAUUAGGAGGAACACCAGUGGCGAAGGCGGCCUGCUGGACGAUGACUGACGUUGAGGCUCGAAAGCGUGGGGAGCAAACAGGAUUAGAUACCCCCGUAUAC
This 449-nucleotide ribosomal RNA is filed under the name uncultured bacterium. Its description in RNAcentral is "bacterial SSU rRNA". It matches the Rfam family "Bacterial small subunit ribosomal RNA", at positions 329 to 795 of the family's 1533-position model. The record is from RNAcentral.